CCUACGGGAGGCAGCAGUGGGGAAUAUUGCACAAUGGGCGAAAGCCUGAUGCAGCAACGCCGCGUGAGCGAUGAAGGUCUUCGGAUCGGAAACCUCUGUCAGCAUGGGAGAACGGUCACUGUGCUAAUCAGCAGUGAAUUGACGGUACCUGCAAAGGAAGCACAGGCUAACUCCGUGCCAGCAGCCGCGGUAAUACGGAGGGUGCGAGCGUUAAUCGGAUUUACUGGGCGUAAAGGGCUCGUAGGUGGUAUGUCAAGUCAAGGGUGAAAUCCCCGGGCUCAACGUGGGAACUGCCUUUGAAACUGGCAAACUGGAGUGUGUGAGAGGAUAGUGGAAUUCCAGGUGUAGGAGUGAAAUCCGUAGAUAUCUGGAGGAACAUCAGUGGCGAAGGCGACUAUCUGGCACAUAACUGACGCUGAGGAGCGAAAGCGUGGGUAGCAAACAGGAUUAGAUACCCGGGUAGUC
RNAcentral lists this ribosomal RNA (465 nucleotides) under uncultured bacterium. RNAcentral describes it as "partial 16S ribosomal RNA". It matches the Rfam family "Bacterial small subunit ribosomal RNA", at positions 338 to 795 of the family's 1533-position model. The record is from RNAcentral.